CCCUUAGAUGUUCUGGGCUGCACGCGCGCUACACUGAUGCAUCCAACAAGUUUUCUCCCUUGUUCGGUAGGACUGGGUAAUCUUUUGAGUAUGCAUCGUGAAGGGGAUAGAUUAUUGCAAUUAUUAAUCUUCAACGAGGAAUUCCUAGUAAGCGCGAGUCAUCAGCUCGUGCUGAUUACGUCCCUGCCCUUUGUACACACCGCCCGUCGCUGCAACUGAUUGGGUGACCUGGUGAACAUCUUGGACCGGCUCACUCAAUUUCGAGAGGACUGGAAAAGGCCGUAAAUCAGGUACAUCUAGAAAUUGCAAAAGUCGUAACA
Molecule: ribosomal RNA, 320 nt
Filed under: uncultured eukaryote
Lineage: Eukaryota
Description: partial 18S ribosomal RNA
Rfam family: Eukaryotic small subunit ribosomal RNA
Source: RNAcentral